Molecule: ribosomal RNA, 236 nt
Filed under: uncultured bacterium
Lineage: Bacteria
Description: partial 16S ribosomal RNA
Rfam family: Bacterial small subunit ribosomal RNA
Source: RNAcentral
AGAGUUUGAUCAUGGCUCAGGACGAACGCUGGCGGCGUGCUUAAUACAUGCAAGUCGAACGGGAGUUAAGGGUUUCGGCCUUUAACUUAGUGGCGAACGGGUGAGUAACGCGUGAAUAACCUGACUCAAAGAGGGGGGAUAACAACGGGAAACUGUUGCUAAUACCGCAUGAGACCACAACACCGCAUGAUGAAGGGGUCAAAGAUUUAUCGCUUUGAGAGGGGUUCGCGUUUCCA